GUUUGUUUGGAGGUAUAAAAAGUCUAACCUGCCCCCUGAUAAAUUAAUUAAAGGGCCGCAGUAUUAUAACUGUGCAAAGGUAGCAUAAUCAUUAGAUCUUUAAUUAGGAUCUCGUAUGAAUGGUUGGACAAAAGGAAGUCUCUCUUUGUGUUAGAGCUUGAAUUUGACUUUUAAGUGAAAAGGCUUAAAUAUUCUAGGGGGACGAUAAGACCCUAUAAAACUUUACAUUAUGGUAAAAUUUAGUUAAAUUUUAAAUAUAAAAUCUUAAUUUAAUUAUUUGUUAUAUUGGGGAGAUAUAGGUAAAUUUUAUUUUAACUGCUUUAGUAUCAAACAGUUAUUAAUGAGGAAUAAUUGAUCCUUUUUAAAGAUUAGUAGAUUAAGUUACUUUAGGGAUAACAGCGUAAUUUCUUUUAAGAGUUCUUAUCGAAAAAGGAGAUUGCGACCUCGAUGUUGAAUUAAAAUGUCUAUAUAAUGGAGAGGUUAUAUGAGAGGGUCUGUUCGACCUUUAAAAUUUUACAUGAUUUGAGUUCAAACCGGCGUGAG
Molecule: ribosomal RNA, 543 nt
Filed under: Flabellamon sp. FBc1
Lineage: Eukaryota; Metazoa; Arthropoda; Malacostraca; Decapoda; Potamidae
Description: partial 16S rRNA
Rfam family: Bacterial large subunit ribosomal RNA
Source: RNAcentral